Long non-coding RNA from Quercus robur (English oak), 627 nucleotides. RefSeq lists it as uncharacterized. Lineage: Eukaryota; Viridiplantae; Streptophyta; Magnoliopsida; Fagales; Fagaceae. The transcript has 3 exons. The record is from RefSeq and is a predicted model, not a curated record.
AAAUGCCUUAGUGUAUGCUUAUACUUCCUGCCUAUAGGUGACUGCAUAGUGACUGGAAUAAGCAUGCAAAAUGUUCUACUAAUUGGGGAGAAUCUUGGUGGCUGUGCAUCUAUUUCUGGAUCAUUGCUUGGGGAGAAUACUGGCUGUCAAUGUGUUUGUUGUCAAGAAAUUGAUAUUUUGGAGAAAACCCAUAAGGCGUAUUGUAUUUAUUGAUGUAUUAGGAAGUUUUUCUGCACUUGGAGUUUUGAUUGCAAUUUGACAAAUGUCUGGAUUGGUAUUCAUUUGAAGCCAAACUUUCUUGUGUUUUUGUAUGUUCUUAGCUACAGUAAAGUGGGUUGUAAGAGAGUAAUUUGUUUUUUUAUUUUUGUUAUUUUUGUGAGAAACAAAUGUGUGGUAUUGUUGAUAAGCAAGAAGAAGUAAUUUGAUACUUUCUGUAAAAGAGUUUGAUGACGAAGUUUAUGCGGAUCAAUGGCAGAACCAACUCCUUUGUAGCAAAUCAUUUAUCCGAGUCUCUACAAUGCUUGGCUAGCACAUUAAGACGUUGGAGAAGUGGCCAACCUUCAGAAUCCUGGGAGGCUCACAAGGCAGCAAUCCAAGCAGUCAUAAAGCUGCCUUCAGGCGAGCUUG